UGGACGUCUCUGGCACUGAUAUCCGCCAUCAAUCACUUGACAUUUGUACUGUACGAGGCCAGUGGCAUGCUGACACAUGGCUUUUCAGUGGGAGGAGAUGAGAAGAGUUAGUGGGAUGAUUCUGGAAAAGGCCCGGCAAGUUCGGCGAUGAUGGAUGCAACCCCCACCAGAGACUUGACUUUGUGCAGAGGGGAUAGUCCCCAUGGCGAUAAGGUUACUGAUGAACGAAAUCGCCUCAAGAGUGGGUUCCCCACAAGAGAUGGCGAGAUGAUCAAAAAGGUGUCGUCUUUGUACUAGGUCCAUGAGGAUGAGGAUAGAGGAUGAAGACGAUUUGAGCGGCUUCUUCUGUAUCGGGAUCAAGACACUUGGGACAAAGCAAUAUUGGAAAGUCCUGGACAGCGGGAAUCACUCGCUUGUAUCCUUUCCCUCACAGUGAGCUCUGUUUAUGAAGCAUUUGUCCUUCUGUGAAUUUGCGGAGUGUUUCUGCUAUCUCUUCUGCAAAAAUCAGGUACCACUUUCCAUCCAGGAAGGAGUACAAAAGAUGACUUGGGACUUAUCCCGUUACAGAGGGACCAAGUGAAAGAUGAGCUUAAGUUAAGAUGCCUCAGUGGACUUGUAGGGACAUUAUGAUGAUUCACCCUUUCCCUACCCUCGUUAUUAGAAUCGUCGGAGCGCUUAAAGGAUACGAAAUCAUGAUAAGACCGCCUGAGAAGUCAAUAUUUUGUUAAAUAGUUGAAAUUAACAAUUAGGAAAGUGUCAUUACCUGUGGUCAUUAUCAUGGACAAUGAAACAUUAAGGGAGGUGAACUCUCGUAAAUAUAAAAAUUGUCUAUCGU
This is a long non-coding RNA of Eucalyptus grandis, 835 nucleotides long. RefSeq lists it as uncharacterized. The record is from RefSeq and is a predicted model, not a curated record. The transcript is spliced from 2 exons. NCBI's taxonomy places the organism in Eukaryota, Viridiplantae, Streptophyta, Magnoliopsida, Myrtales, Myrtaceae.